This 493-nucleotide ribosomal RNA is filed under the name uncultured bacterium. RNAcentral's name for it is "bacterial SSU rRNA". It matches the Rfam family "Bacterial small subunit ribosomal RNA", at positions 29 to 519 of the family's 1533-position model. The record is from RNAcentral.
AUUGAACGCUGGCGGAAUGCUUUACACAUGCAAGUCGAACGGCAGCACGGGGGCAACCCUGGUGGCGAGUGGCGAACGGGUGAGUAAUACAUCGGAACGUGCCCAGUCGUGGGGGAUAACGCAGCGAAAGCUGUGCUAAUACCGCAUACGAUCUAAGGAUGAAAGCGGGGGACCGAAAGGCCUCGCGCGAUUGGAGCGGCCGAUGGCAGAUUAGGUAGUUGGUGGGGUAAAGGCUCACCAAGCCGACGAUCUGUAGCUGGUCUGAGAGGACGACCAGCCACACUGGGACUGAGACACGGCCCAGACUCCUACGGGAGGCAGCAGUGGGGAAUUUUGGACAAUGGGCGCAAGCCUGAUCCAGCCAUUCCGCGUGCAGGAUGAAGGCCCUCGGGUUGUAACUGCUUUUGUACGGAACGAAAGGCUUCUUCUAAUACGGGAGCUCAUGACGGUACCGUAAGAAUAAGCACCGGCUAACUACGUGCCAGCAGCCGCA